ACAGCUCUGAGGAAGCCCACAAUAAAACAGGCAAAGAAGGAAGUCUGGGAUACAAGACUGGUUUGCAGUUUGCAAUUCUCUUCUUCCACUGGUUCUUAAGGGAGUUGAGUAAAAAUAAUUUUUAUGUUCUUCACAUUUUCAAGGAAUGCAUUAUUUAAGCAGAUGGAGAAACUGAGGCACCAAGUUGUUGAUUGUUUCCCCAACUUCCUCAUCUAUGAGGCAUCACCUCUGAAACGGCAGUCCGUGGAUGUCUCCUGCCUUCCAGUGAUGCGCUGCGGACAGAAACUGCCAGUGGUCGUGGAGAGAGAGGGAGACUCUCCAACAGACACCCUGCGCUGAGCACAGAGCCCAACGGGAGGCUCAGCCUCACGACCCUGAGAUCAUGUUCUGCCGAAACUAAGCCGAAACCUACAUAUUCUUACCAAUUAGCUUGGAAUCAAAUAAGUCAUUGGUGUGGUAAAAUAUAUGUCAUUAGAAAAAGAAACACCUUCCUAGAAAUUUUUUAAAGAUUUAGUCAUUUAUUAGAGGGAG
Molecule: long non-coding RNA, 531 nt
Organism: Neogale vison (American mink)
Lineage: Eukaryota; Metazoa; Chordata; Mammalia; Carnivora; Mustelidae
Exons: 3
Source: RefSeq, a predicted model, not a curated record